Molecule: ribosomal RNA, 254 nt
Filed under: uncultured bacterium
Lineage: Bacteria
Description: partial 16S ribosomal RNA
Rfam family: Bacterial small subunit ribosomal RNA
Source: RNAcentral
UACGUAGGGCGCAAGCGUUGUCCGGAAUUAUUGGGCGUAAAGAGCUCGUAGGCGGCCUGUUGCGUCCGCUGUGAAAUCCCGGGGCUUAACCCCGGGCUUGCAGUGGAUACGGGCAGGCUGGAGGCAGGCAGGGGAGAACGGAAUUCCCGGUGUAGCGGUGAAAUGCGCAGAUAUCGGGAGGAACACCGGUGGCGAAGGCGGUUCUCUGGGCCUGUACUGACGCUGAAACACGAAAGCGUGGGUAGCAAACAGGG